RNAcentral lists this ribosomal RNA (451 nucleotides) under uncultured Streptococcus sp. RNAcentral describes it as "bacterial SSU rRNA". It matches the Rfam family "Bacterial small subunit ribosomal RNA", at positions 930 to 1382 of the family's 1533-position model. Lineage: Bacteria; Bacillati; Bacillota; Bacilli; Lactobacillales; Streptococcaceae. The record is from RNAcentral.
CGGUGGAGCAUGUGGUUUAAUUCGAAGCAACGCGAAGUAACCUUACCAGGUCUUGACAUCCCGAUGCUAUUUCUAGAGAUAGAAAGUUACUUCGGUACAUCGGUGACAGGUGGUGCAUGGUUGUCGUCAGCUCGUGUCGUGAGAUGUUGGGUUAAGUCCCGCAACGAGCGCAACCCCUAUUGUUAGUUGCCAUCAUUCAGUUGGGCACUCUAGCGAGACUGCCGGUAAUAAACCGGAGGAAGUGGGGAUGACGUCAAAUCAUCAUGCCCCUUAUGACCUGGGCUACACACGUGCUACAAUGGUUGGUACAACGAGUUGCGAGUCGGUGACGGCGAGCUAAUCUCUUAAAGCCAAUCUCAGUUCGGAUUGUAGGCUGCAACUCGCCUACAUGAAGUCGGAAUCGCUAGUAAUCGCGGAUCAACACGCCGCGGUGAAUACGUUCCCGGGCCUU